ACACAUGCAAGUCGAGGGGCAGCACAGGUAGCAAUACCGGGUGGCGACCGGCGCACGGGUGAGUAACGCGUAUGCAACUUGCCUAUCAGAGGGGGAUAACCCGGCGAAAGUCGGACUAAUACCGCAUGAAGCAGGGGCCCCGCAUGGGGAUAUUUGCUAAAGAUUCAUCGCUGAUAGAUAGGCAUGCGUUCCAUUAGGCAGUUGGCGGGGUAACGGCCCACCAAACCGACGAUGGAUAGGGGUUCUGAGAGGAAGGUCCCCCACAUUGGUACUGAGACACGGACCAAACUCCUACGGGAGGCAGCAGUGAGGAAUAUUGGUCAAUGGGCGUAAGCCUGAACCAGCCAAGUCGCGUGAGGGAUGAAGGUUCUAUGGAUCGUAAACCUCUUUUAUAAGGGAAUAAAGUGCGGGACGUGUCCCGUUUUGUAUGUACCUUAUGAAUAAGGAUCGGCUAACUCCGUGCCAGCAGCCGCGGUAAUACGGAGGAUCCGAGCGUUAUCCGGAUUUAUUGGGUUUAAAGGGUGCGUAGGCGGCCUUUUAAGUCAGCGGUGAAAGUCUGUGGCUCAACCAUAGAAUUGCCGUUGAAACUGGGGGGCUUGAGUAUGUUUGAGGCAGGCGGAAUGCGUGGUGUAGCGGUGAAAUGCUUAGAUAUCACGCAGAACCCCGAUUGCGAAGGCAGCCUGCCAAGCCAUGACUGACGCUGAUGCACGAAAGCGUGGGGAUCAAACAGGAUUAGAUACCCUGGUAGUCCACGCAGUAAACGAUGAUCACUAGCUGUUUGCGAUACACUGUAAGCGGCACAGCGAAAGCGUUAAGUGAUCCACCUGGGG
RNAcentral lists this ribosomal RNA (830 nucleotides) under uncultured bacterium. Its description in RNAcentral is "bacterial SSU rRNA". It matches the Rfam family "Bacterial small subunit ribosomal RNA", at positions 51 to 878 of the family's 1533-position model. The record is from RNAcentral.